UUUUGUUGCCAUAAAUAUAUUUUUGAAAUUGAAUUCUUAUAUAAAAGUUUAAACGUUAUUUAAACGGAAGGCAAAACUUGCUUCCAUAUAGGUCAACCUCCAGUGUAAUUAUCUUAAGCCUAUCGAAUAUGGUCCAUAUCGGUCAAACCUUAAAUGUUGGUGCCAUACUAACGUACCCCUAAAUUUCAGUAUUUUUUCUCUAAACCCCACAUUUUUGUACCCACAAUUUGUCUAAAAUUUGGCAUUCGACAUUUUCUCGACAUUGCAAAAGUAUAUUCCAAGUCUUGGACGAAUCGACCAAUAGCUCCCAUGUAAGAGUGCAUUCAACAAAUACAGAUUUUUGCACAGAUUUGGAAAUGUUCUAUACAUCGUUGGAAAGGUAUUACCUUCAUACUAAGCUUUAUUGCGCAGAUACAUAAUUCGGAUAGAACAAAGAUAUUUUUGUGUUUCUUUUUGGGUUUUAUAGAGGAAGUGAUAGAGAAUACAAAUUUGUUAAUAUGUGCAAUGAAAUAUGAUGUCCUACUUGGGUUUAAACAUUCAAAAUAACACUAGUUAAA
Molecule: long non-coding RNA, 557 nt
Organism: Stomoxys calcitrans (stable fly)
Lineage: Eukaryota; Metazoa; Arthropoda; Insecta; Diptera; Muscidae
Exons: 3
Source: RefSeq, a predicted model, not a curated record